This 108-nucleotide microRNA precursor is filed under the name Chlorocebus sabaeus (green monkey). Its description in RNAcentral is "miRNA (ENSCSAG00000025638.1)". The record is from RNAcentral. Lineage: Eukaryota; Metazoa; Chordata; Mammalia; Primates; Cercopithecidae.
UAUUAAGUUGGUCCAAAAGUAAUUGAGGUUUUCGCCAUUACUUUUAAUGAAAUACCCUAACUUACUUUUAAUGACAAAAACUGCAAUUAUUUUUGCACCAACCUAUAC